Long non-coding RNA from Rhopilema esculentum, 883 nucleotides. RefSeq lists it as uncharacterized. Lineage: Eukaryota; Metazoa; Cnidaria; Scyphozoa; Rhizostomeae; Rhizostomatidae. The record is from RefSeq and is a predicted model, not a curated record.
CAAGCUCCUGUAGCAAAAUAAAGAUAUUUCAAAUUACCACAGGACAUCUCUGUUAUUAUUACAACUUUCUUGUUGCAUUAAAACCGUAUAAGAGAAGUACAGGUUUUUAUCAUAUAUACCGGAACUAAAUUUUCUUGGAACGAAUACACUUGUUUAGCACGUGUGCAAAUGGCAAAUUGCCUGCCUUUGUUUGAAAGACCAGUAAAAGUAUAAGAUAGCCCUUGUCUUGUGGGUCAGACUAGAAUCAUGUGUUGAGCAAAAUGAGCCAAGCAUUUAAUGGUGAAUGUCGAAAACAACUGGAAACGGAACGCAUGACAAUCAGACAAGAUUUGAUGUGUUCCUAAAAUGAGUUCAGCAGCAACAGACAUUGAUCUAAUGCACAACAAGGCAAAUUGAGAACACUGGUACAAUAGCAUAUAAUCUUGCAGAUGAUAGUAAGAGACAGAGAUCGGAUAAAAGCUUGGUAUAAGAAAAUGAAGAAGAGAAAGUGGGUAACCAGUAAUAAAAACACCAAACACUUGAAAGAGAUGCUGAAAAUAUCUUGUUUGAAAACAAACAGCUACAGACUGUUUACAAAAUGUACUUUCUGUAGGGCAUAUUUAUCUUUACCAAUUUUAUUUUUUAUGUGUGUUUACAAUGUUGAGAUAUUCAAAAUGCCAACAGAUUCUUUAUCUUUAACAAUAAUAAGAAACCUGUCUUAGAUAGAAAAAGCUAAAAUGUCAGUGACAAGAACAGUUGAAGUUCCCCAUUCCUUUUAAAGACUUAAAGCCAAAGGCUUUAAUUUAAUGACUAAGCUAAAAUUUGAUUUGUUUCUGAUUAGAUCAUAAAUUAUUACUUGAAGAGAAAUGUGAUUCUAAGGAUAAGGUGAGUAUGACUUUAACAU